Molecule: ribosomal RNA, 977 nt
Filed under: bacterium
Lineage: Bacteria
Description: bacterial SSU rRNA
Rfam family: Bacterial small subunit ribosomal RNA
Source: RNAcentral
UCAGUGGCCGGCAGCCUACACAUGACAGUCGAGCGGUAGAGAGGUGCUUGCACCUCUUGAGAGCGGCGGACGGGUGAGUAAUACCUAGGAAUCUGCCUGGUAGUGGGGGAUAACGUUCGGAAACGGACGCUAAUACCGCAUACGUCCUACGGGAGAAAGCAGGGGACCUUCGGGCCUUGCGCUAUCAGAUGAGCCUAGGUCGGAUUAGCUAGUUGGUGAGGUAAUGGCUCACCAAGGCUACGAUCCGUAACUGGUCUGAGAGGAUGAUCAGUCACACUGGAACUGAGACACGGUCCAGACUCCUACGGGAGGCAGCAGUGGGGAAUAUUGGACAAUGGGCGAAAGCCUGAUCCAGCCAUGCCGCGUGUGUGAAGAAGGUCUUCGGAUUGUAAAGCACUUUAAGUUGGGAGGAAGGGCAUUAACCUAAUACGUUAGUGCUUUGACGUUACCGACAGAAUAAGCACCGGCUAACUCUGUGCCAGCAGCCGCGGUAAUACAGAGGGUGCAAGCGUUAAUCGGAAUUACUGGGCGUAAAGCGCGCGUAGGUGGUUUGUUAAGUUGAAUGUGAAAUCCCCGGGCUCAACCUGGGAACUGCAUCCAAAACUGGCAAGCUAGAGUAUGGUAGAGGGUGGGUGGAAAUUUCCUGUGUAGCGGCUGAAAUGCGUAGAUAUAGGAAAGGAACACCAGUGGCGAAAGCGACCACCUGGGACUGAUACUGACACUGAGUGCGAAAGCGUGGGGAGCAACAGGAUUAGGAUACCCUGGUAGUCCCACGCCGUACACGAUGUCAACUAGCCCGUUUGGGGAGUCUUGAAACUCUUAGUGGCGCAGCUAACGCAUUAAGUUUGACCGCCUGGGGAGUACGACGCACGGGUGAUACUCAAUGAAUUGACGGUGCCCGCCACAAGCGAUCGCAGCCAUGCUGCUUAGUCCGAAGCAAUCGCGAGAGCCUAGCUAGACAUUGUACAUUCCUAACU